Molecule: non-coding RNA, 99 nt
Organism: Lithohypha guttulata
Lineage: Eukaryota; Fungi; Ascomycota; Eurotiomycetes; Chaetothyriales; Trichomeriaceae
Source: the annotation of a RefSeq genome assembly
GGUGUUGUAGUAUAGUGGUUAGUACGCUUCGUUGUGGUACAAUCGUUCUAUCGAUAAAGCAACUCCGAAGCAUCCCAGGUUCGAAUCCUGGCAACGCCA